AACGCUGGCGGCGUGCCUAACACAUGCAAGUCGAACGAGAAAAUACGGCUGUAGCAAUACAGUCGUAUGAGUAAAGUGGCAAACGGGUGAGUAACACGUAGCUAACCUGCCCUCGAGUGGGGGAUAACCUGGGGAAACCUGGGCUAAUACCGCAUAACAUCCCGGUGACACAAGCCAUUGGGAUCAAAAGCCCGCAAGGGUUGCUUGAGGAGGGGGCUGCGGCCGAUUAGCUAGUUGGUGAGGUAACGGCCCACCAAGGCAAUGAUCGGUAGCCGGCCUGAGAGGGCGCGCGGCCACACUGGCACUGAGAUACGGGCCAGACUCCUACGGGAGGCAGCAGUGGGGAAUUUUGCACAAUGCCCGAAAGGGUGAUGCAGCAACGCCGCGUGAGGGAUGAAGGCCUUCGGGUCGUAAACCUCUUUCGAUCGGGAAAAACGGUUCGCUGAAGAGGCGGACUUGAUGGUACCGGAUGAAGAAGCCCCGGCUAACUACGUGCCAGCAGCCGCGGUAAUACGUAGGGGGCGAGCGUUGUUCGGAAUUACUGGGCGUAAAGGGCGUGUAGGCGGUGCGGUAAGUCGGACGUGAAAUCCCCGGGCUCAACCCGGGGCGGUCGUUCGAGACUGCCGUGCUAGAGUGUGGGAGAGGGAAGUGGAAUUCCCGGUGUAGCGGUGAAAUGCGUAGAUAUCGGGAGGAGCACCGGUGGCGAAGGCGGCUUCCUGGCCCACAACUGACGCUGAGGCGCGAAAGCUAGGGGAGCAAACAG
Molecule: ribosomal RNA, 763 nt
Filed under: uncultured Acidobacteriota bacterium
Lineage: Bacteria; Pseudomonadati; Acidobacteriota
Description: bacterial SSU rRNA
Rfam family: Bacterial small subunit ribosomal RNA
Source: RNAcentral